GCCGAGAUCGUAUAGUGGUUAGUACUCUGCAUUGUGGCUGCAGCAACCUCGGUUCGAAUCCGAGUCUCGGCA
Non-coding RNA from Mus musculus (house mouse), 72 nucleotides. The record is from Rfam. NCBI's taxonomy places the organism in Eukaryota, Metazoa, Chordata, Mammalia, Rodentia, Muridae.